Long non-coding RNA from Gavialis gangeticus (Gharial), 871 nucleotides. RefSeq lists it as uncharacterized. The record is from RefSeq and is a predicted model, not a curated record. NCBI's taxonomy places the organism in Eukaryota, Metazoa, Chordata, Crocodylia, Gavialidae. The transcript has 3 exons.
GAGGAGAAGGGUGGGGGUGGAACUCGCCUCAGCCCCGCGCCAACGGCCCCGGCUCCGCGGCGCGCGCAACCAGACCGCUUCGGCCGACCCGCAAUAAAGCGCGUCUGGAUUGGCCGGGGCAGGAACGAAGCCGCGCGGCGAUUGGCUGCAUGGCUGGGAAGGGAGCGGCACGCGGGUUCCACCAGCAGCAGUGCUUUGCGCGAGGCAGAGUCGCGCAGUUUAAAUUCGGCGCAGGCGGGAGCCGCCCUUCGCGCGCGGAGGAAGAGGGUCGGGGCGACCUGUUCCUGCCCCAACCGAAGCUGGGUGUCCCGCUCCGAGGCCCCACCCCAACUCCCCGCGCCCCAGUGUGCGGCCACAGGGACCCUGCUUGCACCGCACAGUACAGGGGCCGCGAGCCGGCGCUCUUGCUGGGGCAGCAACCCACAGGCUGGCCGCAAAGACCCGUUUCAAGCGAGUCCAACAGCAGUGAAAGCUGCCGGGCAGGCACCCCGCCUGCGGGGGUUGACAGCCGGACAUCCCUCUCCCACCCCUCACCCCCCUUUCUUCUGUGAUUCCCCUGACCCCAGCUCUCUGGUGGGGCAUUGUGGGACGGUCGGUGGAGUGGAAAAUGAAACUGCUGCAAGGUGAGCAGCAAGCAGAUCUGAGGGACACUGAUAGUGGCAGCAGAAGUGACAGUAACAGCAACACCACCAGGGGAUGAACAGAAUGUAAACCCCAACAUCAGGGCUAGGACUAAGACUGCGCUUGGGUUAGGGAAAGGACUGAAUAGGAGCAUAGGUCUGUGGGUGGCAUUUAUUGUAACUGCGCAGGCUUUCAAUGUGGCUUAAGGUGUGUGAAGAAAAGCUUUUGCUUGAUGAUUCUAAUAGUAUAA